This 850-nucleotide ribosomal RNA is filed under the name uncultured bacterium. Its description in RNAcentral is "bacterial SSU rRNA". It matches the Rfam family "Bacterial small subunit ribosomal RNA", at positions 50 to 886 of the family's 1533-position model. The record is from RNAcentral.
UCUACCUGCAGUGGAGCGACGAACCGGGCUUCGGCCCGGGGCAAAGCCGCGAACGGGUGAGUAUCACGUGGGUAACCUGCCCCGAUGACCGGGAUAACCCGAGGAAACUCGAGCUAAUACCGGAUGUGCUCGCAAUCCAUCAGGGUUGCAAGUAAAGGAAGCUUCGGCCUCCGCAUUGGGAUGGGCCCGCGGCCCAUUAGCUUGUUGGUGAGGUAACGGCUCACCAAGGCGACGAUGGGUAGCUGGUCUGAGAGGACGAUCAGCCACACUGGGACUGAGACACGGCCCAGACUCCUACGGGAGGCAGCAGUGGGGAAUCUUGCGCAAUGCGCGAAAGCGUGACGCAGCAACGCCGCGUGAGGGAAGACGGCCUUCGGGUUGUAAACCUCUUUCAGGAGGGACGAAGGUUCAGGCGCGAAUAGCGUCCUGGACUGACGGUACCUCCAGAAGAAGCCCCGGCUAACUACGUGCCAGCAGCCGCGGUAAUACGUAGGGGGCUAGCGUUGUCCGGAAUCAUUGGGCGUAAAGCGCGCGUAGGCGGCCCGGUAAGUCCGCUGUGAAAGUCAAAGGCUCAACCUUUGAAUGUCAGCGGAUACUGCCGGGCUAGAGUCCGGAAGAGGCGAGUGGAACUCCUGGUGUAGCGGUGGAAUGCGCAGAUAUCAGGAAGAACACCAACGGCGAAGGCAGCUCGCUGGGACGGAACUGACGCUAAGGCGCGAAAGCGUGGGGAGCGAACAGGAUUAGAUACCCUGGUAGUCCACGCCGUAAACGAUGGGCACUAGGUGUGGGAGGUGUCGACUCCUCCCGUGCCGGCGCUAACGCAUUAAGUGCCCCGCCUGGGGAGUACGGC